This 485-nucleotide ribosomal RNA is filed under the name uncultured bacterium. Its description in RNAcentral is "bacterial SSU rRNA". It matches the Rfam family "Bacterial small subunit ribosomal RNA", at positions 21 to 507 of the family's 1533-position model. The record is from RNAcentral.
GGCUCAGGAUGAACGCUAGCGGCAGGCUUAACACAUGCAAGUCGAGGGGUAUAGUUCUUCGGAACUAGAGACCGGCGCACGGGUGCGUAACGCGUAUGCAAUCUACCUUUUACAGAGGGAUAGCCCAGAGAAAUUUGGAUUAAUACCUCAUAGUAUGUGAGAAUCGCAUGGUUUUCACAUUAAAGUUCCAACGGUAAAAGAUGAGCAUGCGUCCCAUUAGCUAGAUGGUAAGGUAACGGCUUACCAUGGCGACGAUGGGUAGGGGUCCUGAGAGGGAGAUCCCCCACACUGGUACUGAGACACGGACCAGACUCCUACGGGAGGCAGCAGUGAGGAAUAUUGGUCAAUGGACGCAAGUCUGAACCAGCCAUGCCGCGUGCAGGAUGACGGUCCUAUGGAUUGUAAACUGCUUUUGUACGAGAAGAAACACUCCUACGUGUAGGAGCUUGACGGUAUCGUAAGAAUAAGGAUCGGCUAACUCCGUG